UACGGAGGGUGCAAGCGUUGUUCGGAAUUACUGGGCGUAAAGCGCACGUAGGCGGCUUUGUAAGUUAGAGGUGAAAGCCUGGAGCUCAACUCCAGAACUGCCUUUAAGACUGCAUCGCUCGAAUCCAGGAGAGGUGAGUGGAAUUCCGAGUGUAGAGGUGAAAUUCGUAGAUAUUCGGAAGAACACCAGUGGCGAAGGCGGCUCACUGGACUGGUAUUGACGCUGAGGCGCGACAGCGUGGGGAGCAAACAGG
RNAcentral lists this ribosomal RNA (253 nucleotides) under uncultured bacterium. Its description in RNAcentral is "partial 16S ribosomal RNA". It matches the Rfam family "Bacterial small subunit ribosomal RNA", at positions 524 to 776 of the family's 1533-position model. The record is from RNAcentral.